GACAGCUCGCUCGCUUUCUCUCUGUCUGUCCCCUCCAGCAAUUUUCAUCCCUCACACUGUAUUACAUUGACAAGCGACUUUGUAGUCACCCUGGAAAGGUCUACCGGCGAGUGUGCUUGUGUGAAGAUGUUAUUACUAAUGUCGUGAGCGUGCUUGUGUUCAGAAUGCAUCGGUCUCGUGCGCUGCGUCGUGUGUUUGUUUGGGCGCUGCUGGGUGUGUGUUGUCGAGCGUUUGAACUGCAGGACACGAUCCAUGCGCUGAUCGAGGAGAACAUCCACCUUCAUGACCAGCUGGAGAACCUGACGAGAGCCCUGAGAGAACUGCGGCAACUCCUGUUCCACCACAACGACGAGCAUGACCACGAGCAUGAUGAAGAACUUCAACAUCUAUGGGAGGAAUGGUCACAACACAGCAUUACACCUGAGACUCACCUGCUUUUGGAGCAUGCUCUCUGUGGACAUGACCUUCAUGGCUCCGCCCACCUCAUUUCAGGACACACCCCCUUUCUCUUUAUUCUCACUGUCAUAAUGCUAGCACACUUUCUCUUUUGAAGUGCACAUAAAUAACUAUACCUCCCAUAACUGGUAAAUCUAAAUUUAGCAGCUGUUCCUUUUUAUUGAGAAUUGUGAUAGAGGUCAUUUUUAUAGUAUCAGGCCAGUGUUGAAGUUGAUAUCCAAGGAAUACAAUGCCACGAGGGAACAGAAUAACCACAAUGCUGUAUGAAUGCAAUUAUAAUUGUGAUAAACUGUUUAUAGAGCAAAUUGGACUGGUUUUGGGUUAUUAUAUUUACAGUAUAGUGGUUUGUUUUCACCCUGGAUCAUUCUGAUCAUUCUGA
This is a long non-coding RNA of Xyrauchen texanus (razorback sucker), 835 nucleotides long. RefSeq lists it as uncharacterized. The transcript is spliced from 3 exons. NCBI's taxonomy places the organism in Eukaryota, Metazoa, Chordata, Actinopteri, Cypriniformes, Catostomidae. The record is from RefSeq and is a predicted model, not a curated record.